CCUACGGGGCGCAGCAGUGGGGAAUAUUGGACAAUGGGGGAAACCCUGAUCCAGCCAUGCCGCGUGUGUGAAGAAGGUCUUAGGAUUGUAAAGCACUUUAAGUUGGGAGGAAGGGCAGUUAACUAAUAUUUGACUGUUUUGACGUUACCGACAGAAUAAGCACCGGCUAACUUCGUGCAGCAGCCGCGGUAAUACGAAGGGUGCAAGCGUUAAUCGGAAUUACUGGGCGUAAAGCGCGCGUAGGUGGUUCGUUAAGUUAGGAGUGAAAGCCCCGGGCUCAACCUGGGAAUUGCUUCUAAAACUGGCGGGCUAGAGUAUGGUAGAGGGUGGUGGAAUUUCCUGUGUAGCGGUGAAAUGCGUAGAUAUAGGAAGGAACAUCAGUGGCGAAGGCGACCACCUGGACUGAUACUGACACUGAGGUGCGAAAGCGUGGGGAGCAAACAGGAUUAGAUACCCGAGUAGUC
This 464-nucleotide ribosomal RNA is filed under the name uncultured bacterium. RNAcentral's name for it is "bacterial SSU rRNA". It matches the Rfam family "Bacterial small subunit ribosomal RNA", at positions 338 to 795 of the family's 1533-position model. The record is from RNAcentral.